Molecule: ribosomal RNA, 360 nt
Filed under: uncultured Actinomycetales bacterium
Lineage: Bacteria; Bacillati; Actinomycetota; Actinomycetes; Actinomycetales
Description: bacterial SSU rRNA
Rfam family: Bacterial small subunit ribosomal RNA
Source: RNAcentral
UGUGCCAGACCGCUUCAGAGAUGGAGUUUCCCUUCGGGGCUGGUUCACAGGUGGUGCAUGGUUGUCGUCAGCUCGUGUCGUGAGAUGUUGGGUUAAGUCCCGUAACGAGCGCAACCCUCGUUCCAUGUUGCCAGCACGUAGUGGUGGGGACUCAUGGGAGACUGCCGGGGUCAACUCGGAGGAAGGUGGGGAUGACGUCAAAUCAUCAUGCCCCUUAUGUCUUGGGCUUCACGCAUGCUACAAUGGCCGGUACAAUGGGUUGCGAUACUGUGAGGUGGAGCUAAUCCCUAAAAGCCGGUCUCAGUUCGGAUUGGGGUCUGCAACUCGACCCCAUGAAGUCGGGGUCGCUAGUAUCGCAGA